RNAcentral lists this ribosomal RNA (432 nucleotides) under uncultured bacterium. Its description in RNAcentral is "partial 16S ribosomal RNA". It matches the Rfam family "Bacterial small subunit ribosomal RNA", at positions 29 to 506 of the family's 1533-position model. The record is from RNAcentral.
AACGGACGCUGGCGGCAUGCCUAACACAUGCAAGUCGAACGAGACCUUCGGGUCUAGUGGCGCACGGGUGCGUAACGCGUGGGAACCUGCCCUUAGGUUCGGAAUAACUCCCCGAAAGGGGUGCUAAUACCGGAUAAUGUCUUCGGACCAAAGAUUUAUCGCCUUUGGAUGGGCCCGCGUUGGAUUAGCUAGUUGGUAGGGUAAAAGCCUACCAAGGCGACGAUCCAUAGCUGGUCUGAGAGGAUGAUCAGCCACACUGGGACUGAGACACGGCCCAGACUCCUACGGGAGGCAGCAGUGGGGAAUAUUGGACAAUGGGCGAAAGCCUGAUCCAGCAAUGCCGCGUGAGUGAUGAAGGCCUUAGGGUUGUAAAGCUCUUUUACCCGGGAUGAUAAUGACAGUACCGGGAGAAUAAGCUCCGGCGAACUCCGU